UGCAUCCAGUUGCCAGUGACGAACAUCCACCAGGUAAUCCACAUGAUGUAAAAGAAAACAUGAUUCAUCAGACCAGGACACCUUCUUCCAUCUGUGGUCCAAUUUUGAUGCUAACAUGCCCAUAGGCAGUGGACAGGGGUGGGGCCAUCAUGGACAUCCUGACUGGUCACAGUGUGUCUUCUGUCCUGUCUCCCUCCCAUCACCUCCAUCAGAUUGCUGCUGUCCUGAUCCUAUCCUGAUUCUGUUUUGUUGUUUUGUCCUGUUAAAAGGGAGUUUUUCCUUCCCACUUUC
Astatotilapia calliptera (eastern happy) is the source of this 291-nucleotide long non-coding RNA. The record is from Ensembl. Lineage: Eukaryota; Metazoa; Chordata; Actinopteri; Cichliformes; Cichlidae.